CCCGACACCGGUUUACUCACCUCCACCGGUGUUCUCGCCUCCGCCACCGGUGCUCUCUUCCCCACCACCACCAUCACCGCCACCGCCAUCUCCUUCGCCUCCACCACCUCCAGUUUACUCCCCUCCUCCACCUCCACCAGUUUACUCACCUCCACCACCCCCUCCUCCCCCACCGCCACCACCACCUGUUUAUUUUCCGCCACCACCUCCACCUUCACCACCACCACCGUCUCCCCCUCCACCCUCACCCCCACCACCUUCUCCAUCACCGCCUCCCCCUCCCUCGCCACCACCACCGGUAUUAUCGCCCCCGCCUCCAGUUUAUUGCGUCCGUUCCCCACCACCGCCACCGCCAAAUUCUCCCCCGCCUCCCAUUUAUUCUCCACCACCACCUCCAGUUCAUUCACCGCCCCCACCAAGUCCUUACUAUAGUUCACCACCGCCCCCGCCGCCACAUCAUUCACCUCCACCACCUCCCCACUCGCCACCCCCGCCUCCACCUAUCUAUCCAUACGCAUCACCGCCACCGCCACCCGUGCAUUCCCCACCACCACCUGUCCAUUCUCCACCACCUCCAUGCAUAGAACCGCCUCCUCCUUCUCCACCACCCCCAUCACCACCUCCAUGCAUAGAACCGCCUCCUCCUCCUUCUCCACCACCAUGUGUAGAAUAUUCGCCACCUCCACCAUCACCACACUCACCACCGCCACCACCAGUUCAUUACUUGCCUCCACCAUCACCAUCACCCCCACCACCACCUGUGUAUGCUUCUCCGCCACCUCCACCAUCUCUGCCUCCCCCAGUUUACUACCAUUCUCCGCCCCCACCCUCACCACCUC
Molecule: long non-coding RNA, 839 nt
Filed under: Vitis vinifera (wine grape)
Lineage: Eukaryota; Viridiplantae; Streptophyta; Magnoliopsida; Vitales; Vitaceae
Description: long non-coding RNA (VVIN_LNC003405)
Source: RNAcentral